CUCUGCCACCUAGCCCUAUGUCCUUUCUACCUGUCCACUUCCCUUUCACCAUGUCUAUCAUUUGGAGGAUGGAACAUGCUGCUGCUGAGGUCUAGAAAGCAACAUUGUUGGUCACCUGUCUCUGCUGAAUUGAGUGGCACAAUGGGGACAAGGGAGCCAGCAGAGAAGCAGUAGUUGGAGAAGAAAAAUCAUUUAGGGCUGUAAAGGACAUCAAGAGAUCAAGUCCAGCCCCCCGAUGCUGAGGUAGGACCAGGAAAAGCUAGAUCAAUCCUCACAGCUGUUUGUCCAACCUGUUCUUAAAAACCUCCAAUGAUAGGGAUUCCAUAUCUAUUCUAUUCCAGACCAUAUCGAUCCUUACAGUUAGUGCAGAUUAAGCCCUAUCCUACCUUCAGCAGACGGAGAACAACUGAUCACAGUCCUCUUUAUAAGUCCUUAACAUAUCUGAUGACUUCUCAGGUCCCCCUUCAAUCUUUUCUCAAGAUUAAACAUGCCCUGUUUUUUUUUAAACCAUUCUCAUAAAUCAAGUGUUCUAAACCAUUUAUCAUUUUUGUUGUUCUCCUGUGGAUUCUCUCCAAUUUGUCCACAUCUUUCUUAACAUAUGGCACUGGACCCAGGCCUCACUAGUGCUGAGUAGAGCGGGACAAUUACCUCCCAUGUCUCACAUAUGACACUCUUGUUAACACAGCACAGCAUAUUAGCCUUCUUCACAACUGAAUCAUAACCCCCAGUUGCUUUUUAGCAGUACUACCACCUUAACAAUUAUUCCCUGUUUUGUAGUUGUAAAUUUGAUUUUUUUCUCUCUAAAGAAAAUACAAUGUAGUCCUCAUUGUCUGAAUACUAGGGGCCACAUGGAUUUUUUUUCAGAUAAGCGGGAGUUUGGAUAAGUGUGAGGACAGGAGCCAUUCAGCAGCCGGGUAGCCUCCCCCACAGCCAGGGGCUCAUCCUCCUCCUGGCAGUCCUGGCCCAGGGUCUCCGCUCAGCCCUGCUCAUUCACCCCCAGGACUCCAGAGCUGCAGGGGGCUCCCUGGUCUGCUACAGCGCCAAUGACCCCCAAUCCCUGAAAGCACACAGUGUGGGCUCUAGUUUGCCGUUCCGGCAGAUCAUAGUAGAGAGAGGGACACACUGCAGCCUCCCUCGUGCCUGCAGGGAUCAGGUACCAACAGCCCCCAGGACAGCAGGGUGACCUGUACAACUCCACUAUCACAGCCCCGCUCGCUCCUGCUUGGGGUGGCUGGGCUACCAAGAGCCAUUCCGCAGCAGGCUAGCCUGCCCCCGAGCCGGGGGUUUGCCCUCACCGUCCUGGCCAUAGGUCUCUGUGCCACGCGCUGUGGAGAGAAGGGGUUCGGGUUACUUGGCAGUUCCGAUCUCAGGGUUUUCGCCACCGGGAUCACGCGGCACUGCGCACUGGGCUGCACUGAAUUUCAUCUCCGUGAUUUCAGAGCAAUUCUCCAGCCUGCCCUCCCAAGUGCUACGCCCCCUCCCGGCUGAGGGUCAGCGGCAAACCUCACCAGCGCGCCCUGCCCACCUGCAUCCCAGGCCUGACUGAAAACACACGGACCAGGAGCGGCCCGAGGUGCCCCCAGCCCGACGGGGAACCUCUGCCCUUCCAAGCCGCGGCCGAGUCGGGGCCCAAGCAGCGCCGGCCGGAGGGAGAGCGGUGGCAGAGGAAGGGGGCGCCGCCUAGAGGAGGCCGGGGGCAGGGCCACGUCCUGGGGCUAGGAGGCUCGCGGCGCGGGGCUGCUGGGGUUACCUGCCUGCCGCAGCUCAGCCAACGGCCCCUGGGGCUGCGAGUGCCUCGCGCUCUGCGCGGCGCCGCCGCCUCACAGCCCGCCAGGACAGGCGUCAGGCGGGGCGCGCGGGGGGGGCUCAGGGACUCGCCCAACGGUCACUCGGGGUGGGGGCGGAGCUGGCCCCUUUCCGCUCUCUCCCCACUCCUAGGACCCCAGCGCCGGCUCUGGCCUAUGCCGGUUCCGCGGUUUGCAGGCGGCUUCUUUGGACGCCAAGGCCCCCGGCGGGCCCCUUUGGCCCGGGACCGGCCCCGCCCCGUCUCCGCUACAGCGGGAGGAGCCCCGCGAACGCGCUCCGCCGAGCGCGCCGCCCGGUGUCUCGGUGGCGGCCAUGGCGGCUGCCUCGCAGCGGGACCCCGGGGACUGGCAGGAUUUUUCCGGCUUCCAGCCCCCCGCAGGGAGCAGCCCCGAGCCGGCCCGGGACGGGGGCACCUGGGGGCCCGGAGACCUGGGGGACAAGCUGCUCCUCUGCUUCAAGCCCCCCCCACCUCGGGACGGCGGCAGCGAGAGCCGGGUCCCGCUGCGGCCCCUCAGCGAGCAGAGCGCCCUACGGGAAGACGAGAUUUGGAAUGCUUUGACUGAUAAUUAUGGUAAUGUAAUGCCAGUUGAUUGGAAGUCCUCCCACACCAGAGCUUUGCAUAUGCCAACACUGAAUCUCUCAGAAAGAGGGUUAAAUGAAAAUUUGAACCUUGACCUAUCAGAUGAUGAAGAGCUUAGAGAACAGCUGGAUAUGCACUCUAUCAUAGUUUCCUGCAUCAGUGAUGAACCACUGUUCACAGCAGAGCAGGUGAUUGAAGAAAUAGAGGAAAUGAUGCAGGAAUCACCUGACCCAGAAGACGAAGAAACACCCAUGCAGUCAGACCGGCUCUCCAUACUUUCCCAGGAAAUUCAAACACUCAAGAGGUCAAGUACAAACAACAGUUAUGAAGAGAGAGUACAAAAACUGUCUGUUGCUGAACUAAAUGAACUACUAGAAGAAAUUGAGACUGCCAUUAAGGAUUAUUCUGAGGAGCUGGUGCAGCAGUUGGCUCUAAGGGAUGAGCUGGAGUUUGAAAAGGAAGUGAAAAAUAGCUUCAUUUCUGUCCUCAUUGAAGUACAAAACAAACAGAGAGAACACAAAGAAACAGUGAAGAAGAAGAAAAAGCUGAAAAAUGGUAGUCCUCAGAAUGGCAAACAAGAAAGAGGUCAUAUGCCUGGAACACGCUUCAGCAUGGAAGGGAUCUCAAAUGUCAUUCAGAAUGGCUUCCGCCACACGUUUGGAAACUCGGGUGGAGAGAAACAGUACUUAACAACAGUCAUUCCUUAUGAGAAGAAAAGUGGACCACCCAGUGUUGAAGAUCUACAAACAUUAACCAAAAUCCUUUAUGCUAUGAAAGAGGACAGCGAGAAAGUGCCAAGCUUAUUAACAGACUACAUUUUAAAGGGUAGUCUCUCUUCAUUGGAAAUGUUGAGGAUUUCUUGAUCAAGAUCAAGACCAGAACAACAGUGAGAAUUUUGGGGCAGAAUGCCACUUUCUAGAAGCACAGAUUUCUGUGUCCGACAUGAAAAGUGCUGCUUUACUUCAGAAGUAACCAUGCUCCUUCCUGUGACAAGAAGCUUUCAAGAGAUAGUUCAUAGUAUUUUCUUUUCAUUUGGCACUGUAUCUAAACCUGUAUGUAUUUACUUUCCAUGUCUGUUUGGAUUUUUGGAUCAUACAGUAGGCCUUUUAGGCAUGAUAGAAUGUAUGCACUUUUCAUUUGAUGGUGCAAUGUGCUUGAGCGUAGAACAAACAUUGUAAAGUUUUACUCACAAGCUUUGGUUUGGCUUUUUAAAAUCUAUUUUACAUUGUGUAACAUGUAGUAAUCCCUCCCACAUAUUUCACUGUUGGGGAAAGGAAACUAAACUUUAAAUACUGUAAAUAAAAUAAGCCUAUAAUUUUAACUAAUCUGCAGUAAAAAAAAAAAAAAAAAAAAAAACCAAAAAACAAAAAAAACCCUCUGUUCUUAUCUCAAACAUGCAAAAGGGAUCAUAGCCAAGCCUGCCCUGAAGAAUUCCAUUGAAGUUCUUCAGUGGACGCUCCAAAACAGUGAUAGUGGAAACUGGCACUGAACACUUUUUUUAAAA
Chelonia mydas (Green sea turtle) is the source of this 3890-nucleotide RNA transcript. It is a transcript of the gene named fasciculation and elongation protein zeta 2, with no coding region annotated. NCBI's taxonomy places the organism in Eukaryota, Metazoa, Chordata, Testudines, Cheloniidae. The transcript has 10 exons. The record is from RefSeq and is a predicted model, not a curated record.